Anser cygnoides (Swan goose) is the source of this 3431-nucleotide long non-coding RNA. The record is from Ensembl. Lineage: Eukaryota; Metazoa; Chordata; Aves; Anseriformes; Anatidae.
AUGCCACUGCCUGGGCCCCGGGGCCAUGGGUUAGGCUGGGCCUCUCCUGCAGGGGGUGUUCUGGUCGAGGCCCUGAAUCACAGGGAGAGGAGAAAGAAGGGAAUAUUUAGAGGGUCUUUGUGGAAAAUAUGCAGAGACAGAAGCAGAGCCAUACAAAAUAAGGGAGGGACACUAGAAGCUGUAGUCACGUGGGCAGCAGAGGGCAACUGCCACCGGAAACCUGGGUGUGUUAGGGAAACCUGGUCCUGUGAGGUGAGGGUGGCAAGCAGGGAAGGCAAGGUGGUGUCUCCUCAGUCCUUACAGCAAGAAGGCAGUGUUUCAGCAGAAGUAGACGUAUCUAGAAGGUCACCUGGCUACAUGGCUGAGGCAUGGUGCUGCAGUGCCAGAAACAAUCCUGUCAGUGAACACUAACAAGUCUUAAUGAGAAAUGAGGAAACAUAAAGCACAAAGGAGGCCCUUGCUUUGGUAAGUCUAGUAACACUUCAGUAUGCUUCAAAAGUCUGAAUGGUUUGUUAUCUGUCUGUACCUCUUUGCAAGAGGUAUUUUUAGCCAUGUCUGUGAUGGUUCUUAAUGAACUGUUUAGCAUGCUCUUAAGAUCCAGAAAGUACAUUAAUGUGUUCAAAACUAUCUUUUGGUCCUGCUGGCAAAUUAGUCCCCAGUUGGCUGUGGUCCAACAGCCGUUCGAGAAAUUCAAGGCUUCAGCUGCACACCUGAUGGCAAUAUGGGGAGACAGAAACAAAGUCUCCUGCUCCAGGUGGAGUGAGUUUGCAAAAGGACUUAAAAAGGAAGGCAUGGGCACAACAAUGCUUGGACAACUUCUUUGAGGAUAUGGGUGAGAGUGCUGAUUUAAGGCUUACCCUGUCUUGUCAUUAAGUGUUAGUAGAGAGACAAAGACUGCAGCUCCAAAUGGAGUGGGGCUGAAGAGGGGUGCCAGAGGAAGAGGUGGACAGCCCCAAGAAUUCUAUCCUGGCAGCUUCUUCCUCUGGGCCACAUCUGGUAGUUUCAGUAUAAAACUUUGCCUAUGCCUAGGCUUAGGUUUAGAUUUAUUUUUUGGGGAAGAGAAAAACUAGGAUCUCAACAUGCAGUGGAACUGAAAAAGUGUUUUUGGAGGAAAGAGUUGAUACUUAAGCCACAGCCCAGAAGCUGUUGAUUGGAACCAUUCUGGAUGUAGUCCAGUCUAUCCUUUAGCAUUUGCUUUACAGCUCCGCCCCACCUGCAGCUCUCAGUUUGUCCCUCAGCUAAUGCUAACCCUAACCCUUAGGAUGAGCUGAGGCUUAGUCUGAAGUCUAAAUCCCUUAUCUAGAGGAAGAAGUUAUCAGAAUGCCUUCUUGGUACAGUCUGUCCUUCUUCUGUUUGUCCCCCUCAUCUCACUGUACCUGGAACUCUAGGCUUUGCCUCACUCCUAGUCUUAAUCCUAAUCUUAACCUAAGUGUUAGGGUAGGCUGAAAUUUAGCCUGAGAUCCCUUUUCAUAUUUGUGAGGAAGCAGCUGUCCUGAGAGAAGUUUUAGUGUAGCCUGUUGUUGCUUUUUUUGGACCCACUCUACCUAGAGCUGUAGGCUUUGUCUCUCUGUUACUUAUAACCCUCGUGCUCCCUAGAUAGUUUUUAUGGCUUUCAGGAAAUAGACUUACUCAUCUUUUCUAAAUGUUAUCUUGAUUUUAUUCAGCAUUUUUCCAUUACGUUUCUUUGUUCUUUUCCUCAGAUAGGGAUCAAGUGUAAUAGUUGCCUAAGAAUCUACAUCUGUUCUGCAGUCUUACUCCUUAUUGUGGUUUCCCAUUUUCUCAACAUCUACUAUAUAAUGCAUUCUCUGGAUGGAUAUCACCUUUUUGCAGUGAUGUUUUCAUCUUAUUCUUUAUUGUUGUCCUUUAAUCAAGCAUACAUGCAAGUGUGGCCAUGAAUACCACUCUAUUUGGUUAAAGUGAAAUGGCUUUCAGAGCUAUUUUUGUUUUCUUUAUGCUCCUCCAUAUAAUCCCACAGAUGUCUUAUGUAAUUACAUGUCAUACUUCAUGUUUUCCUACCCUGCUUAGCCACUUUAGUCACAUCUUGUUCUUGAGCAUUGUACUUCCAGGAACUUUAGUCCAGACUGGGUAAGAUCUGAAAUAUUGUAUAUCAAGUUGCAUGUUAAUAUAAAGAAGUAAAAACUUGUCAUAAAUACCAAUGUCCUUUGAUAUAAAGUCAGAUUUCUCACAAAGAAAAUGACAGAUUAUUUGCAAGCAUCUUGGGCACAGGCCUGGGACAGGUGGUGUCUGAUUGUGUUUGUCAGUCUGAUUGUGUUUGUUCUAGUGAUAGGACUAGAAGGAAUGGCCUCAAGUUGUGCCAGGAGAGAUUUAGGUUGGAAAUUCUGAGACAUCUUUUCUCAGAAAGAGCAGUCAGGCAUUGGAACGGGUUGCCCAGAGAGGUGAUGGAGUCACUAUCCCUGGGGGUGUUUACAGAAAGGUUGGACUUGGUCCUUAGGGACAUGGCUUAAUGGAUAACAUUGGUAGUAGGGGGAUGGUUGGACCAGAUGAUCUUGGAGGUCUUUUCCAACCCUAAUGGUUCUGUGAUUCUGUGGCAUGACUUUAAUGCAGCCCUGUCCUCCACCAAUAGUGUGGGUCUGUUUCUCUGUGAGUUGCUUAUGAUUAUUUUUAAACAACAAUUGUAUAUUGAAUACAUUAAAUUUGUCAUAUUUUUAAAAGCCCAAAAGACAAAUUUGUCAGCAAAUUACUGUGAGGGGUGAUGGAAGGGGAAGCGUGUUACUAGAACAGUGAGUGUCACUUGUGGUGUCAAUGGGCUUAAUACACAUGUAAAAAUACUUUAGCAUUCUGACUACAUUCAUCAGUAUUUAAUCCCCAGGCAAGUUAAUCCCUGGGAUCUUAAAUUUGGGUUUGCUUGUGAAGACAUGGAUUUGAUAUAUUUCACUAGGGUUUCUUAAAGCCUUAUUGCUCAAAUUAAAGGGUUUGUGUGAUUAACUGACUGACCUUCCAUUUUACUAAAGAAAUUUCUUUUUUUUUAAGAAGAAAAUUUUGAAUUCUUGAACUUUAGAGGUCAUGAGAGCAGAAGAUACAUUAAAUAGAUCUUCAUUAAUUGUAUUUUACUCUGUAAAAUCUAGUAAUUGAUAAAUUAUUCUGGUAGCUGCCUUCUUAUUUGCAAAUUCAGAGGUAGCAAUACUUUAAGAAUACAGCAACAUAAAAGCUUUUUUUUUUUUUCCACAAACAUAUUCCUUUAAUUCUUUGGGCUAAAAAUCUCUUAAUACAGUCCUUAUAUGCUUUUACCAUAAUUAUUGAAGUUCAGAGACAGUUCUUCACAUUUAGUACUGUGGCCCCAGAAUCUGUCUUGAUGGUAAGGAUUUCCUUAUUACUUGCAGGUGCCAUUAUAGUAUGAAUUCAGUUUUCUUCUAAUUCUGGCUUUGGUCCAGAGACAAUAAAUGAUGAAGCUCUUCUCUCUCUGAAAAGCA